RNAcentral lists this ribosomal RNA (404 nucleotides) under Peptostreptococcus russellii. Its description in RNAcentral is "bacterial SSU rRNA". It matches the Rfam family "Bacterial small subunit ribosomal RNA", at positions 1 to 397 of the family's 1533-position model. Lineage: Bacteria; Bacillati; Bacillota; Clostridia; Peptostreptococcales; Peptostreptococcaceae. The record is from RNAcentral.
UUUAACGAGAGUUUGAUCCUGGCUCAGGAUGAACGCUGGCGGCGUGCUUAACACAUGCAAGUCGAGCGCGGUCCCUUUGGUGCUUGCACCAGAGAAGACUGAGCGGCGGACGGGUGAGUAACGCGUGGGUAACCUGCCCUAUACACAUGGAUAACAUGCUGAAAAGCAUACUAAUACAUGAUAACGUACACUGAUGGCAUCUUCGGUGUAUCAAAGCGUUAGCGGUAUAGGAUGGACCCGCGUCUGAUUAGCUAGUUGGUGGGGUAAAAGCCUACCAAGGCCACGAUCAGUAGCCGACCUGAGAGGGUGAUCGGCCACAUUGGAACUGAGACACGGUCCAAACUCCUACGGGAGGCAGCAGUGGGGAAUAUUGCACAAUGGGCGAAAGCCUGAUGCAGCAACGC